Molecule: long non-coding RNA, 4522 nt
Organism: Triticum aestivum (bread wheat)
Lineage: Eukaryota; Viridiplantae; Streptophyta; Magnoliopsida; Poales; Poaceae
Exons: 12
Source: RefSeq, a predicted model, not a curated record
AACACCCUACCAUUUGGAGUAAUCAACCCGCGAUCCGAACAGAUUUGUAAAAAAAAACACGGCCAGAAACUGACCACGAACUCCUCUCCCUCUCUCCCUCUCGCCCACGAACUCCUCGGCACCAACACCACCCGCGCCGCCGGCUUCCGGCGAGCUCCGACGCCGCGCAGCACGCCCCUAAGCCCCCACAAUCCGCGCCUCCCUCCCCUCCUUCCAGAUUCUCCGUUCCCGGCCUCUAACGUCCGCUCGCAACCAAACCCCCGUGGCUAGGGUUUCGGGAUGGGCUUCGCCGGCGCGUCUCCGGCGGCCCCAGAUGCAGAUGGAGCACGCCAUGGGAGUUCCCCAUCCACCACGGUCACCGCCGUCAAGUGCUUCUUCACGGAGAUGUGAAGGACGCCAAGGACCUGCAGCUACUCAAGGUUUUAUCUUGUCCCCAUCCUAUCCCCUCCCCUUGCCGCCCCUUCUUCAUUGGAUGACCAGAUGCACAACCACAUAUGUUUUUUGAUUCAGGCUCAUAGGGUCUAGAUUUGAAUGUAAAACUACCUGACUUUACCAUUAACAGAUUGGAAGCACGAUUAUCGCUGCAAUUUUUUUAGUCAUGGCAUAUUUUCUCUUAUAUGUGUUUGUUGAUGAUUAAUCAUCAAAGGUUAUACGCGUGUUUCGUCCCAAGCACAAGUCCUUCUUUCAUAUAUCCCUUUUGUCAUAUGUCUUCUUGAUGCAAAGAGGCUCAGCUUGCUACUGAUGGAUUGCAGCUUACCAAAUUUGAUUUGGUUUGGUACAAUGGAUGUUUGGUAUUGAUGUUGAAAGAAUACUUCACUUUCUGUAAUUUCUGAUGUUCAGAUUAUACCGAAUGAAUGCUACCAGAUUCCAUAUUUGUUCUAGAGAUAUUAUUGAUCUUUUCAUGCACCAAUUGUUCAAGUAGUGUCUUUCUGCUAAAAGCUUUAUAUUGCCAUGUGUGUCCUUUUGUCCGUACCUUUUUCCAGUAAUUUUCUCUGUUAACCUUGGGCCAGCUCAUUUGUGUGUGCUUCAUGUAUAUGCUCAUGCUUUUGAUGCUGCUGGACUUUGGAAUGCAUCCGCACAGUAACUUUCUGGGUAUGCUUGCAUUCAGGUUGUCAUUAGUUACGAGAUGGUACAUCAGUGUCUCCACUCUAGAGAUGAAUAUAAUACGCCAAAACACAGAAAUUAUUCCGUUCAAAGUGAAUGACACGGCGUAAAUCAAACAUGCGCUGAGCCUACUAAUGCGACUACCAGUACUGUUGCACUACUAGAACCCAAUGGCAUGAUGGUGCAGCAAAUAUGGUUUUUUAUUAGAUAGUUUUCUGCACUGUAUAUGUGAUGAAUUCACAAAUUUAUGAUUUUGAGGUACUGGUGAAGGUAGAUUCAAAUGAGUGAUGCAAAUUCAGAAUUGCAUAGGUAGUGCCUACUACUGACUAAGGGUACAUGAGUUGGAAGAAAGUCCAAGCAGAAGGAACUCCUGCAGAUGCCCAGGCUGCUACUGUGCCUAUCUUAAGGGAGACGAGACGCUGUUGAGCUGUUUUUCGGUAGAUUUGAGCUACCUAGAGUUGAGCUAGGCACCAGACGAGCAGAAGCACAAACGUAGGAGGUAUCCAACAACGGCAACCGCAACGCCAUUCCACUUAAACCUGGAGACCAGAGAAAGGAUGCGAGUUCUAGGAAAAUUUACAUUGAAAUUUGUCACAUGCAAACUGGAGGAAGGGGCAAUAAGCAGAGAAUUCCCCUCAAGAUGUGAACUGCAUUGAUGCCCUCGGUAUGUGUGUUGCUACUGCUGAAUGAUGCUCCCUUGUCGUUGUUGCUAUAGUACGAUUUAGUACAGCUUGUCUGAAUGGGUUAGAAGAGGGGUUAUGAGAUGUUUUGUUGGAGUUUAAAUAUUCUUUCAUGUAUUAAACUGAUAAGUUGUGCACUUUUGCUGCUGUUAGAUAAACUGACUACUCUGUACUGUUGGAUAGCCAUGGUAUGUGUUAGUUUUAUUUUACCACAAAAGUUUCUUGGGAGUUGGGAUAUCAGGUGUAUUCAUUACUUUUCCUAUGAAUAUAUUCUAUUUUGGUGCACUGUAUAACUAUCUAAUCUAUCUAUCCAAGUUUUCAAAGAAAUUGAUGGCGGCGGCUCGGCCGUGUCGUGGUGAAUGGCGAAGCUUCGAAACUGAACAUGAGAAAGGUGUUGACGCGCGGCUGGAAGACGUACAUACUUGAGGAAAUAUGAUUCAUAAGCUGGCAGGGCUCGUGAUGGACAAGGCGAACGCAGCGGAUAGGGCACCAAAGGGGGGUGUGGUUGCAGCGGCAUAGAGCACUUCAACAAAGGAGACUUGAGAAUGGGGACUAUAAGGAAGAUGAGUUUGUGCUUCCUUCUAUCUAAGUCAACUGUGAAGAUGUAAAAAAUGCCCUAAAAACAAGUUUAAAAAUCUUCACAGUUUUCAUAUCUUCACAAAUUUUUUGUUUCAAAACAAUAUGUUCACACUUUCUAAAAGAGCUUAAUUUUUUUCCAAAAGCAAAGUUCCAUUUUUACUAUUUUCCCCAUUUACAAAUGAAAAAAACAUUCUUAAAAGAAAACAUCAAUUCAAAAAAUGUUCUUUAAUAAAAACAUUAACUAAUCUUAAAUAAGUGUUCCAAUUUUUAUGAAAAUGUUAACUUUUGUUAAAAAUAAAAAAGUUCCAUGUUUAACCUUUUAUUGUUGUUUAUUAAAAUUGAAUAUAAAAAUGAUGCACAAUGGCAUAUGAAGCAGGUUGUGUCUUUUUCACCCGGUGCAACGCACGGGCAUUUGUACUAGUCGUAUACAAAAAUUGAUGUAUAGGUCGAGACAUAAUCUUUGUAUCUUCUUUCAGGAAAUCUUGGGAUGUCAUAUUGGUGCUCAAAGCGCAGAAUUGUCGUUAUGGAGUCCAAGAGUCCAGCAGCAUAGGUUGACCCAAUAACUCGCUCGCCCCAUCUCUGCCAGCACGGCAGCACCUCCCCAAGUCAGAGACGGCGCCGCUGCCGCAGCCAGCGCCACCCCAAACCACAGCGGCUACGUCAUCGAUCUCCGGUACAUACAACAUGGGAAAAGAGAAGAGACACAUCAACGUCUUUUUUCUUGGUGAGAUGAACUAUACCAUGUAUAACUCUCUCAUGAGAGAGCUGGGUGCUAUCAGCAGGAGUGUCAUAGCGGAACUUGAGAAAAAUCCCCAUGGUCCACUUAAGUAUCUCCUUGAGGUUGCCAAGAAGGAGCUUAGAGAUCAAUCACUCCUGUGGAAGUUCGAGGGCAGCAACUAUAUUUUUUGUGUGAUCGAUAAAGCAGAGAAAGCCGAUUGCAUUGUUGUGAUGAUGACUGAAUCCACAACCAGUGGUUUUGAGGCUAAUAUAGAACAACAUGGCUUCCUCAAUGGUGGUAAGCAGAUCAUCUGCUGCUGCAAGAUGGAUGAGCACAGUUACAAUGCAGUAGAGGGACAACUCUCUUCGCAUUUUGUGAAAUCUGGGUCCAAUGACAUAAUUGUGCCAAUAAGUUGUGAUGAAGAAGGGAACAAUAUCUCUAAGAGAGGCUCUAUCUCGAUUGGUACAAUGGUCCUACUCUUUUGGAGGCCUUGAAUCAAUUAAAGGAACCAAUCAGCACUCAAGGUUAUUAUUACAGAAACAAGUUAGAGACUUAUUGUUUGAGGACGUACCAGAUGUUUCCUGUCUAUGUCACAAAAAUUGAAGGAGAACUGCAUAAUGUGAAAUUCAGGUCUGAGGUCAAAGUGAAUGCUGAUAUUUUCUGUUCACUGGAGGCCCAUCUACAGCGCAAAGAGGCAGAAUUAGAUGCUGCUCAAGUUGCUUGCACAAGCCUGUUGGGUAAAUGCGACGAUGUUACCUUGAGGAUCGAGAAGGAUGAAUUAUGCGCGAAAUCUAUUCUGCGUGAGUUUGCACUUAAAUCCAAGUCAAGCCUGCCUGUCUAUUCUUCCUCCAUAGUCAAAGAGCUUGAGAUGACAUACUGGAAAUCAAGUGUUCUCUUUGAGGGCGUUUCCUAUGUCAGCGACGACCGUGCUAAGAAUAAAAGGCUGUCCGAACAGAAGGCUGCAUGUGCUGCACUCAAGUCGAUUCUUGCUACAGAAGAUCAUCUCUUGCCCUCGAUCCUGGUCGCUAAGAGAAAACCGACGAGUGCAGUGGCGAAGAGUUCCCGGGCGGCAAAAAAGCAAAAGAUUGGUUCUGAAUGAUUUUCGUGCUAUCUGCAUUGCUAAUUUUCUCUUGUGCGAGUGUUAUCUUCCAUGUGAAAAGAGGUGGGUAAGACGGAGCAUGUUCAAAUUACUCUUUCUCAAUACCAUACAUGUAGUGCCUGGAUGUGAACCGUUCGCUUGUCACCUCUGCGAAUCGAUUUGUUUUAGUGCGCCAUCUGUAGCGCUUGGGUGAUACCCAUGUGAAUUGAUGUGUUUUAGCUAGGAUGCUUUAACGGUUCAUUUAUCUCCGGAGUGCUUUAGCGUGAAACUCCAUGAUGUGACCUUCGAUGGUUCGUUCCGGGGAUAGUGUUGUUUGGUCAUCAACGUUGUUGUUGAAGAACA